RNAcentral lists this ribosomal RNA (478 nucleotides) under uncultured bacterium. RNAcentral describes it as "partial 16S ribosomal RNA". It matches the Rfam family "Bacterial small subunit ribosomal RNA", at positions 28 to 523 of the family's 1533-position model. The record is from RNAcentral.
GACGAACGCUGGCGGCGUGCUUAACACAUGCAAGUCGAACGGUAAGGCCCUUCGGGGUACACGAGUGGCGAACAGGUGAGUAACACGUGGGUGAUCUGCCCUGCACUUCGGGAUAAGCCUGGGAAACUGGGUCUAAUACCGGAUAGGACUCCGGACUGCAUGGUCUGGGGUGGAAAGCUUUUGCGGUGUGGGAUGGGCCUGCGGCCUAUCAGCUUGUUGGUGGGGUGAUGGCCUACCAAGGCGACGACGGGUAGCCGGCCUGAGAGGGUGACCGGCCACACUGGGACUGAGAUACGGCCCAGACUCCUACGGGAGGCAGCAGUGGGGAAUAUUGCACAAUGGGCGCAAGCCUGAUGCAGCGACGCCGCGUGAGGGAUGACGGCCUUCGGGUUGUAAACCUCUUUCAGCAUCGACGAAGCGAAAGUGACGGUAGGUGCAGAAGAAGGACCGGCCAACUACGUGCCAGCAGCCGCCGUAA